GUGCUCACUUGGGCAGCACAUAUACUAAAAUUGGAACAAUACACAGAAGAUUAGCAUGGCCCCUGCACAAGGAUGACACGCAAAUUCAUGAAGCAUUCCAUAUUUUU
Molecule: small nuclear RNA, 107 nt
Filed under: Cavia aperea (Brazilian guinea pig)
Lineage: Eukaryota; Metazoa; Chordata; Mammalia; Rodentia; Caviidae
Source: RNAcentral